This 470-nucleotide ribosomal RNA is filed under the name uncultured bacterium. RNAcentral describes it as "bacterial SSU rRNA". It matches the Rfam family "Bacterial small subunit ribosomal RNA", at positions 26 to 518 of the family's 1533-position model. The record is from RNAcentral.
AGAACGAACGCUGGCGGCGAUGGAUUAGGCAUGCAAGUCGAACGGGAGCAGCAAUGCUCCAGUGGCGCAAGGGUGAGGAACACGUGAACAACCUGCCUUCGAUUGGGGAUAGCUUCUGGAAACGGGAGAUAAUACCGAAUAACAUCACCGGAUCGCAUGAUCUGAUGAUCAAAGCAGCAAUGCGCUUGAAGAGGGGUUCGCGUCCCAUUAGCUAGUUGGUGAGGUAACGGCCCACCAAGGCGAUGAUGGGUAGCUGGUCUGAGAGGACGAUCAGCCACAUUGGGACUGAGAUACUGCCCAGACUCCUACGGGAGGCUGCAGUCGAGAAUUUUGGGCAAUGGACGAAAGUCUGACCCCAAGCAAUGCCGCGUGCGGGAUGAAGGUCUUCGGAUUGUAAACCGCUGUCAAGAGGGACGAAACAUGACGGUACCUCUGGAGGAAGCCACGGCUAACUACGUGCCAGCCGCGGC